RNAcentral lists this ribosomal RNA (1280 nucleotides) under Alkalibacillus salilacus. Its description in RNAcentral is "bacterial SSU rRNA". It matches the Rfam family "Bacterial small subunit ribosomal RNA", at positions 82 to 1349 of the family's 1533-position model. The record is from RNAcentral. Lineage: Bacteria; Bacillati; Bacillota; Bacilli; Caryophanales; Bacillaceae.
GCUCGUGGAACGAGCGGCGGACGGGUGAGUAACACGUGGGCAACCUACCUGUGAGACGGGGAUAACUCCGGGAAACCGGGGCUAAUACCGGAUAACGCAUCGAACCGCAUGGUUCGAUGAUCAAAGAUGGCUUCUAGCUAUCACUCACAGAUGGGCCCGCGGCGCAUUAGUUAGUUGGUGAGGUAACGGCUCACCAAGGCGACGAUGCGUAGCCGACCUGAGAGGGUGAUCGGCCACACUGGGACUGAGACACGGCCCAGACUCCUACGGGAGGCAGCAGUAGGGAAUCAUCCGCAAUGGACGCAAGUCUGACGGUGCAACGCCGCGUGAGCGAUGAAGGUCUUCGGAUCGUAAAGCUCUGUUGUGAGGGAAGAACAAGUGCCGUUCGAAUAGGGCGGCACCUUGACGGUACCUCACCAGAAAGCCCCGGCUAACUACGUGCCAGCAGCCGCGGUAAUACGUAGGGGGCAAGCGUUGUCCGGAAUUAUUGGGCGUAAAGCGCGCGCAGGCGGUUCCUUAAGUCUGAUGUGAAAGGCCACAGCUCAACUGUGGAGGGCCAUUGGAAACUGGGGAACUUGAGGACAGAAGAGGAGAGCGGAAUUCCACGUGUAGCGGUGAAAUGCGUAGAUAUGUGGAGGAACACCAGUGGCGAAGGCGGCUCUCUGGUCUGUAACUGACGCUGAGGCGCGAAAGCAUGGGUAGCGAACAGGAUUAGAUACCCUGGUAGUCCAUGCCGUAAACGUUGAGUGCUAGGUGUUAGGGGGUCCAACCCUUAGUGCUGCAGUUAACGCAAUAAGCACUCCGCCUGGGGAGUACGGCCGCAAGGCUGAAACUCAAAGGAAUUGACGGGGGCCUGCACAAGCGGUGGAGCAUGUGGUUUAAUUCGACGCAACGCGAAGAACCUUACCAGGUCUUGACAUCUUCGGACAGCCCAAGAGAUUGGGUCUUCCCUUCGGGGACCGAAUGACAGGUGGUGCAUGGUUGUCGUCAGCUCGUGUCGUGAGAUGUUGGGUUAAGUCCCGUAACGAGCGCAACCCCUGAUCUUAGUUGCCAGCAUUGAGUUGGGCACUCUAGGAUGACUGCCGGUGACAAACCGGAGGAAGGCGGGGAUGACGUCAAAUCAUCAUGCCCCUUAUGACCUGGGCUACACACGUGCUACAAUGGAUGGUACAAAGGGAAGCCAAACCGCGAGGUCGAGCUAAUCCCAUAAAGCCAUUCUCAGUUCGGAUUGUAGGCUGCAACUCGCCUGCAUGAAGCCGGAAUCGCUAGUAAUCGCGGAU